Molecule: ribosomal RNA, 342 nt
Filed under: uncultured Anaerolineaceae bacterium
Lineage: Bacteria; Bacillati; Chloroflexota; Anaerolineae; Anaerolineales; Anaerolineaceae
Description: bacterial SSU rRNA
Rfam family: Bacterial small subunit ribosomal RNA
Source: RNAcentral
GCUUGUACAGGUGCUGCAUGGCUGUCGUCAGCUCGUGUCGUGAGAUGUUCGGUUAAGUCCGCUAACGAGCGCAACCCUCACUGUGUGUUACAAGUGUCACACGGAACUGCCGGUCAUAAACCGGAGGAAGGUGGGGAUGACGUCAAGUCAGCAUGGCCUUUAUAUCCUGGGCUACACACACGCUACAAUGGGAAGGGACAAUAGGUUGCGAAGCCGCGAGGCGGAGCCAAUCCAGCAAAACUUCCCUCAGUUCAGAUUGCAGGCUGCAACUCGCCUGCAUGAAGUUGGAGUUGCUAGUAAACGCAGGUCAGCCAUACUGCGUUGAAUACGUUCCUGGGGCUU